AAUUAUUGUUUUUAUUAAAUAUAUUUAAAAAGUGAAAAUUAUAAUCUACUUGAAAACUAAUUGUUUGUACUUUUUGAAUAACGGUUUCUCCAAUAAUUAAUAUUUUUUUUCUCGAAUUAAGAAGAUCUAAAGAAAAGUAAGCACUUAUGUAGAAAAAUAAGUUUUUGAUAGUUCUUUAGGGGCGAAAAACCUUCAAUUCUUACAAUAUCUAGAUUUCCCAUGAAAAGCAUUGAGUGCUUAAAAAUGAAUUAAUUGGCGUUUAGGUCGAUUAAUAAGAAUAUUUUUUUUUAUUUUUAUAUUUUGGUUAAUACUAAUAAUCUAAAUUACUAAAAAUUAUUUAUUUUAAAUUUCUCUUUUAGUGGAUAGUUUAAUUAUUUUAAAAUUAUGAGAAAAUUAGUAAAAAUAUUAAAAAAAGUAUAGGAACUCGGCCAAUACAAACUUCGACUGUUUAUCAAAAACAUAGCCUUAAGAUUAAGUAUUUAAGGUGUAACCUGCCCAGUGAUUUUUUAAAUGGCCGCGGUACUUUGACCGUGCUAAGGUAGCAUAAUCACUUGACUUUUAAAUGGAGUCUGGAAUGAAUGGGGUGACGGGGUUCAGCUGUCUUUACUUUUUUAUUUUUAAUUUACUAAAUAGGUGAAAAGGCCUAUAAAUGAAAAAAGACGAGAAGACCCUUAGAGUUUCUAAAAAAUUUUGUUGGGGCGACAUAGGAAUAUAGAUCUUCCUAAAAUUUAUAAGACGGUUUUCAUGAAUAGAUAAACUACCUGAGGGAUAACAGCAUAAUCUAUUUUUGGUUUGUGACCUCGAUGUUGGACUAGGAAUUUUUUAGGCAAGCCGCCUAGAAAAAAGAUUCUGUUCGAAUUUCAUCUCCUACAUGAUCUGAGUUCAGACCGGCGUAAGCCAGGUCAGUUUCUAUCUUUUUUGAAAAAUUUUUAGUACGAAAGGACCAAAAUUUUUUUAG
This 958-nucleotide ribosomal RNA is filed under the name Sagaminopteron nigropunctatum. Its description in RNAcentral is "large subunit ribosomal RNA". The stretch from base 653 to 919 matches the Rfam family "Archaeal large subunit ribosomal RNA", at positions 2150 to 2716 of the family's 2987-position model. The record is from RNAcentral. Lineage: Eukaryota; Metazoa; Mollusca; Gastropoda; Cephalaspidea; Gastropteridae.